AUCCUCAGGUUCUUAAGCAUGACGAUUGGGUGCUCAUGCUCCAUGCAUGACAUGUGCCUCCUUUGAACCUUGUUACGAACUCGGCACAUUACCCAUCUGACG
Cavia porcellus (domestic guinea pig) is the source of this 102-nucleotide small nucleolar RNA. It matches the Rfam family "Small nucleolar RNA U13". Lineage: Eukaryota; Metazoa; Chordata; Mammalia; Rodentia; Caviidae. The record is from Rfam.